RNAcentral lists this long non-coding RNA (577 nucleotides) under Citrus x clementina. RNAcentral's name for it is "Citrus clementina (C. clementina) long non-coding RNA (CCLE_LNC001472)". Lineage: Eukaryota; Viridiplantae; Streptophyta; Magnoliopsida; Sapindales; Rutaceae. The record is from RNAcentral.
GGAAAAUUAAUAAACUAACACCACAUUGAUGCAACAAAUAAACCCCUUUCAAUUUAACCACUUUCCUACAAAACAAACAUGAUCCAAUACUCUAAUAUAUAUACAUAAAACCCUCAUUACUAAAAUUUAAAAAGAUGAAGAAACAAAAUUCUUAUGAUUAAGAAACUGCCACCCUAUGAUCAUUAUUUUGGGGACAAUUCGUUUGACAAAACCUGGUGGGUUUAUUCGGCUGAAAAUUCCUUCUCCUUUGAAGAUCAUGGCUUGCUGGCUUGAUGAUCCGCAUUAAAAAUGGCUUUAUAAGAUUGGUUUUUGAUGCCGUAUUCAACAUCAUCAUCUUCUUCUCAUUAUUGUUCUUUGAGUCCAUUUUGUUGAUGUGGGCAGCUGUUGACUUAGUUGCUGAAACUUUCCGGUACCCGCCGCGGUGGAGGCCACAGCGAAACGAGCCCGGGUGGGUGGAGGGAGAGCAGAGACAUGUACGGGCUGUUGAAGAUGAAGAAGAUGAGUUUUUGGUUGCCAUUGAUGCGCAUGUGUUCUUUUGUGAGUGCUUCUGUUUGUUUUGUUUGAAUUUUCUUUUGUU